UGGCAAUGAUGAUAAAAAGGCCGGUCUUACGGCUGCCAUUUACUUCUUUGGUAGUAGAUUGAUUAUUGCUUUCGUGAAAGUGUUUUCUGAGCCAG
Molecule: non-coding RNA, 95 nt
Organism: Cicer arietinum (chickpea)
Lineage: Eukaryota; Viridiplantae; Streptophyta; Magnoliopsida; Fabales; Fabaceae
Source: Rfam